GUCCAGGUCGUGUCCACAAUGGUGGGCCUC
RNAcentral lists this small RNA (30 nucleotides) under Bombyx mori (domestic silkworm). RNAcentral describes it as "ovarian small RNA-17730". Lineage: Eukaryota; Metazoa; Arthropoda; Insecta; Lepidoptera; Bombycidae. The record is from RNAcentral.